UAGGGAAUCUUCCGCAAUGGACGCAAGUCUGACGGAGCAACGCCGCGUGAGUGAAGAAGGAUUUCGGUUCGUAAAACUCUGUUGUUAGAGAAGAACAGCGCAUAGAGUAACUGUUAUGCGUGUGACGGUAUCUAACCAGAAAGCCACGGCUAACUACGUGCCAGCAGCCGCGGUAAUACGUAGGUGGCAAGCGUUGUCCGGCUUUAUUGGGCGUAAAGCGAGCGCAGGCGGUCAAUUAAGUCUGAUGUGAAAGCCCCCGGCUCAACCGCGGAGGGUCAUUGGAAACUGGUUGACUUGAGUGCAGAAGAGGAGAGUUGAAUUCCAUGUGUAGCUGUGAAAUGCGUAGAUAUAUGGGGGAACACCAGUGGCGAAGGCGACUCUCUGGUCUGUAACUGACGCUGAGGCUCGAAAGCGUGGGUAGCAAACAGG
RNAcentral lists this ribosomal RNA (429 nucleotides) under Bacteroidota bacterium. RNAcentral describes it as "Bacteroidetes bacterium partial 16S ribosomal RNA". It matches the Rfam family "Bacterial small subunit ribosomal RNA", at positions 355 to 776 of the family's 1533-position model. Lineage: Bacteria; Pseudomonadati; Bacteroidota. The record is from RNAcentral.